UGCGUGGUCAAGCAGUAAGGAUACUUGCCUUUCACUCUGGAGUCCCGGGUUCGAUCCCCGGUCGAAAAG
This is a non-coding RNA of Rhamnusium bicolor, 69 nucleotides long. NCBI's taxonomy places the organism in Eukaryota, Metazoa, Arthropoda, Insecta, Coleoptera, Cerambycidae. The record is from the annotation of a GenBank genome assembly.